GACGAACGCUGGCGGCGUGCUUAACACAUGCAAGUCGAACGGAAAGGCCCUGCUUUUGUGGGGUGCUCGAGUGGCGAACGGGUGAGUAACACGUGAGUAACCUGCCCUUGACUUUGGGAUAACUUCAGGAAACUGGGGCUAAUACCGGAUAGGAGCUCCUGCUGCAUGGUGGGGGUUGGAAAGUUUCGGCGGUUGGGGAUGGACUCGCGGCUUAUCAGCUUGUUGGUGGGGUAGUGGCUUACCAAGGCUUUGACGGGUAGCCGGCCUGAGAGGGUGACCGGCCACCUUGGGACUGAGAUACGGCCCAGACUCCUACGGGAGGCAGCAGUGGGGAAUAUUGCACAAUGGGCGGAAGCCUGAUGAAGCAACGCCGCGUGCGGGAUGACGGCCUUCGGGUUGUAAACCGCUUUCGCCUGUGACGAAGCGUGAGUGACGGUAAUGGGUAAAGAAGCACCGGCUAACUACGUG
Molecule: ribosomal RNA, 468 nt
Filed under: uncultured bacterium
Lineage: Bacteria
Description: partial 16S ribosomal RNA
Rfam family: Bacterial small subunit ribosomal RNA
Source: RNAcentral